GAUGAACGCUGGCGGCGUGCCUAAUACAUGCAAGUCGAGCGAACGGACGAGACGCUUGCUUCUCUGAUGUUAGCGGCGGACGGGUGAGUCACACGUGGAUAACCUACCUAUAAGACUGGGAUAACUUCGGGAAACCGGAGCUAAUACCGGAUAAUAUUUUGAACCGCAUGGUUCAAAAGUGAAAGACGGUCUUGCUGUCACUUAUAGAUGGAUCCGCGCUGCAUUAGCUAGUUGGUAAGGUAACGGCUUACCAAGGCAACGAUGCAUAGCCGACCUGAGAGGGUGAUCGGCCACACUGGAACUGAGACACGGUCCAGACUCCUACGGGAGGCAGCAGUAGGGAAUCUUCCGCAAUGGGCGAAAGCCUGACGGAGCAACGCCGCGUGAGUGAUGAAGGUCUUCGGAUCGUAAAACUCUGUUAUUAGGGAAGAACAGAUGUGUAAGUAACUGUGCACAUCUUGACGGUACCUAAUCAGAAAGCCACGGCUAACUACGUG
Molecule: ribosomal RNA, 497 nt
Filed under: uncultured bacterium
Lineage: Bacteria
Description: partial 16S ribosomal RNA
Rfam family: Bacterial small subunit ribosomal RNA
Source: RNAcentral